CUAUUACUAGUACACCUGUACACAGUUGUUACAGAGAAGUGAACAAGUUGUUUGAGGAUGAAGUACAUGUUGACGCUACUGGUGGUGACCGUCACUGUUAUAGGAGCAAUAGACAACAAAACUGCUCCGGUAGAUCCAGUGAUCCUUCCGUGUGGCCCCCACACCAUGAAACUCGGCGAUGUGGUCUUGGUGCAGUCACCAGGUUACCCCGCCCGCCUGACCAACAAGAGCAGUUGUCAACAGAAUAUCGUCUGCCAGUCACUGAGUGCCAAGCUUGGAGUCGCCUGCGAAGUAUUUAACCUGGAAGACUGUGACAAUGAACGACUCAUCAUAUCCUACGACACCACUUCCUCCACGUAUGUGUUACCCGGUACAACACC
Homarus americanus (American lobster) is the source of this 380-nucleotide long non-coding RNA. RefSeq lists it as uncharacterized. Lineage: Eukaryota; Metazoa; Arthropoda; Malacostraca; Decapoda; Nephropidae. The transcript is spliced from 3 exons. The record is from RefSeq and is a predicted model, not a curated record.